This 574-nucleotide unclassified non-coding RNA is filed under the name Hevea brasiliensis (rubber tree). Lineage: Eukaryota; Viridiplantae; Streptophyta; Magnoliopsida; Malpighiales; Euphorbiaceae. The record is from RNAcentral.
CCAUAGUGUACUUCGUUAACGACUCAUCUGUUCCAUUUCCAUGCAGAACACUAACACUUUCCCUUCCCUUGACAGACUUCAAAUGUUCUUUGUCAUAGACAACACUCCUAGUUUCAUCAAUAUCCUUUACAGUAAUCACAUUGUUGUCCAGAUUACUUUGACCAUCAAAUUUCUCAUUACUUCCAUUCAACCCAUCAAAAUCCCGAGCCUCAUCACCAUCUGUAGUAUCAACACCAUUCCCGUUGUCACCAUCUUUAGCUUUUUCAUCCGAAAUCUUCAUUAGAACCUUCUUAAGAUCCAACUCAACAUCCAUAGGAACUCCAUCCCCGUCUGAACCCAAAUCACAUUUACUCACCUUACUCUUAACACUACUAACAUCAGUUUCCCUAACUCUCAACAUCCAUAGGAACUCCAUCCCCGUCUGAACCCAAAUCACAUUUACUCACCUUACUCUUAACACUACUAACAUCAGUUUCCCUAACUCUCAACAUCCAUAGGAACUCCAUCCCCGUCUGAACCCAAAUCACAUUUACUCACCUUACUCUUAACACUACUAACAUCAGUUUCCCUAACU